CAUCCAUUCAGCCAACAACAGCAUUGACUGCUCAGGCACUGUUCUGUGUUUUGGGUGUGGUUAUGAACACAACAAACAAGAGCCUGCAGCCAUGGAGCUUCUCCUUUCUCGCCUAAUAUGUGAAGUUUUCUAAUAGCAUCUGAUAAGCUACAGAGAUCCAAGGAUAUCCUUGGCCCAGACAGGUGAUGCCUGCCUCUACUGAUCCCAAAGAGGUAAGACUGACUGAAUUGAUAUCACUCCAAAAAGACAUGCUAACUGAUAAGACUCUCUAUUCUCCUGUGUUGGACAAGGUGUUCAUC
RNAcentral lists this long non-coding RNA (299 nucleotides) under Bos indicus x Bos taurus (hybrid cattle). RNAcentral describes it as "lncRNA (ENSBIXG00000019091.1)". Lineage: Eukaryota; Metazoa; Chordata; Mammalia; Artiodactyla; Bovidae. The record is from RNAcentral.